RNAcentral lists this ribosomal RNA (496 nucleotides) under uncultured bacterium. Its description in RNAcentral is "partial 16S ribosomal RNA". It matches the Rfam family "Bacterial small subunit ribosomal RNA", at positions 28 to 506 of the family's 1533-position model. The record is from RNAcentral.
GAUGAACGCUGGCGGCGUGCCUAAUACAUGCAAGUCGAGCGAACAGACGAGGAGCUUGCUCCUCUGACGUUAGCGGCGGACGGGUGAGUAACACGUGGAUAACCUACCUAUAAGACUGGGAUAACUUCGGGAAACUGGAGCUAAUACCGGAUAAUAUAUUGAACCGCAUGGUUCAAUAGUGAAAGACGGUUUUGCUGUCACUUAUAGAUGGAUCCGCGCCGCAUUAGCUAGUUGGUAAGGUAACGGCUUACCAAGGCGACGAUGCGUAGCCGACCUGAGAGGGUGAUCGGCCACACUGGAACUGAGACACGGUCCAGACUCCUACGGGAGGCAGCAGUAGGGAAUCUUCCGCAAUGGGCGAAAGCCUGACGGAGCAACGCCGCGUGAGUGAUGAAGGUCUUCGGAUCGUAAAACGCUGUUAUUAGGGAAGAACAAAUGUGUAAGUAACUAUGCACGUCUUGACGGUACCUAAGCAGAAAGCCACGGCUAACUACGU